GGGGGGAGUGCUGGAUCUUGGACUGUGUCACCCAGCGGCCUUGGCUCUGGGGCCUGUGCUGCUAGAAUCGUGCUCCCGGGCCUCACAGCCCCCU
RNAcentral lists this microRNA precursor (94 nucleotides) under Canis lupus familiaris (dog). RNAcentral describes it as "mir-8799 microRNA precursor family". It matches the Rfam family "mir-8799 microRNA precursor family". The record is from Rfam by way of RNAcentral. Lineage: Eukaryota; Metazoa; Chordata; Mammalia; Carnivora; Canidae.